Molecule: ribosomal RNA, 510 nt
Filed under: uncultured bacterium
Lineage: Bacteria
Description: partial 16S ribosomal RNA
Rfam family: Bacterial small subunit ribosomal RNA
Source: RNAcentral
GACGAACGCUGGCGGCGUGCUUAACACAUGCAAGUCGAACGAAGAGCGAUGGAAGCUUGCUUCUAUCAAUCUUAGUGGCGAACGGGUGAGUAACGCGUAAUCAACCUGCCCUUCAGAGGGGGACAACAGUUGGAAGCGACUGCUAAUACCGCAUACGAUCUAAUCUCGGCAUCGAGGAUAGAUGAAAGGUGGCCUCUACAUGUAAGCUAUCACUGAAGGAGGGGAUUGCGUCUGAUUAGCUAGUUGGAGGGGUAACGGCCCACCAAGGCGAUGAUCAGUAGCCGGUCUGGUAGGAUGGACGGCCACAUUGGGACUGGGACACGGCCCAGACUCCUACGGGAGGCAGCAGUGGGGAAUCUUCCGCAAUGGACGAAAGUCUGACGGAGCAACGCCGCGUGAGUGAUGACGGCCUUCGGGUUGUAAAGCUCUGUUAAUCGGGACGAAAGGCCUUCUUGCGAAUAGUGAGAAGGAUUGACGGUACCGGAAUAGAAAGCCACGGCUAACUACGUG